RNAcentral lists this ribosomal RNA (253 nucleotides) under uncultured bacterium. Its description in RNAcentral is "partial 16S ribosomal RNA". It matches the Rfam family "Bacterial small subunit ribosomal RNA", at positions 524 to 776 of the family's 1533-position model. The record is from RNAcentral.
UACGUAGGGUGCAAGCGUUGUCCGGAAUUAUUGGGCGUAAAGAGCUCGUAGGCGGUCUGUCGCGUCGAAUGUGAAAACCCGGGGCUCAACCCCGGGCCUGCAUUCGAUACGGGCAGACUAGAGUUCGGUAGGGGAGUCUGGAAUUCCUGGUGUAGCGGUGAAAUGCGCAGAUAUCAGGAGGAACACCGGUGGCGAAGGCGGUGAUCUGGGCCGACACUGACGCUGUAGAGCGAAAGCGUGGGGAGCGAACAGG